GAUGAAGAACGCAGCGAAAUGCGAUAAGUAGUGUGAAUUGCAGAAUUCAGUGAAUCAUCGAAUCUUUGAACGCACAUUGCGCCCUUUGGUAUUCCUUAGGGCAUGCCUGUUCGAGCGUCAUUUAAACCUUCAAGCUAAGCUUGGUGUUGUGUGACUGUCCGCUUCACGGCGGACUCGCCUCAAAAUUAUUGGCGGCCGGUACAUUGGCUUCGAGCGCAGCAGAAACGCGAACUCGGGCCCGUCGUAUUGGCUCCCAGAAGCUAUCUUCACAAUUUUGACCUCGGAUCAGGUAGGGAUACCCGCUGAACUUAAGCAUAUCAAUAAGCGGAGGA
RNAcentral lists this unclassified non-coding RNA (332 nucleotides) under soil metagenome. RNAcentral's name for it is "partial contains 5.8S ribosomal RNA, internal transcribed spacer 2, and large subunit ribosomal RNA". The stretch from base 1 to 120 matches the Rfam family "5.8S ribosomal RNA", at positions 35 to 154 of the family's 154-position model. The record is from RNAcentral.